CUUUUUCUCUGUGCAUCCUCAGUGACGCGGGGCACAGCUCUGCCCGGGGGCCUACCAGAGCCCACCUGGACCCCACACUGGGUCAGCCCUGGUGCGGAGGAGGCCGCUGCGCGGCCAGGUCACAGUCGGCACCAGAAGUUUGGCAGAUCUCAGUGAGGCGUUAGUUUGCAUUUCCUUGUGACGGGUUUUGACUGGAAUGCCAGGCUUAACGUUGCUCAGAAGUUGCUUCUAUGAGGACGUCUCCCAGCAGCUGUCAGUGUUUCCAAUGAGUCAUCGCCAGCCCCUGCAAUGAGCCUCUCAGGCUGGUAAGUUUUGUUUCAGAACCGCUUCCUCAAGCUUCUUUUGCCUUUAAAAGCUUCCUCUUGCCCCAGCCUCCCAGGGAAUGCCUGUGGUCUGUCAUGGCUCACACAUCCUGGUUGAUAAUCCACUGCUGUUCUCCACGGAAUGCCUUCAUUUUGAGAGCUGCUCGCUGCCUGUUGUGGUUUCAGUUGACGGCCCACCGCUGUGUGCAGAGUUCACCAGCCGCUGUGGUGUGCAGUGCAGCAGCUGACCUGCCUGCCUUGUGGUUUUCUAAUCCCAUUGAGGG
Molecule: long non-coding RNA, 586 nt
Filed under: Homo sapiens (human)
Lineage: Eukaryota; Metazoa; Chordata; Mammalia; Primates; Hominidae
Description: long intergenic non-protein coding RNA 1237
Source: RNAcentral